GUCUUUUAGGAUUUAAUUUUAAGUUUAACCUGCCCACUGAAAAUUUUUUAAAGGCUGCGGUAUUUUGACCGUACAAAGGUAGCAUAAUCAUUAGUUUAUUAAUUGUAAACUUGUAUGAAUGGUUGAAUGAGAUAUUAACUUUUUUAAUUUAAUAAAAAUUGAAUUUUACUUUUUAUUUAAAAGGAUAAAAUAGAUUUAAAAGACGAGAAGACCCUAUAGAGUUUCAUUUUUUAUUAAUUAAUUUUUCAUUAGAUUUUUUUUUUCUUUUUUAAUAAAUUAUUUUGUUGGGGUGAUGAUAAAAUUUAAAUAACUUUUAUUUUAUUUAAACAUUAAUAAAUGAUUAUUUGAUCCAUUUUUAAUGAUUAAAAGUUUAAAUUACCUUAGGGAUAACAGCGUAAUUCUUUUUUAAGUUCAUAUUAAUAAAAGAUUUUGCGACCUCGAUGUUGGAUUAAGAUUUAAUUUUAGGUGCAGAAGUUUAAAAUUUAAGUCUGUUCGACUUUUAAAUUCUU
RNAcentral lists this ribosomal RNA (509 nucleotides) under Cratyna vagabunda. Its description in RNAcentral is "partial small subunit ribosomal RNA". Lineage: Eukaryota; Metazoa; Arthropoda; Insecta; Diptera; Sciaridae. The record is from RNAcentral.